UUUCCGUAGGUGAACCUGCGGAAGGAUCAUUAUCGAGUUUUGACUGGGUUGUAGCUGGCCUUCCGAGGCAUGUGCACGCCCUGCUCAUCCACUCUACACCUGUGCACCCUUGCGUGGGUCCGUCGGCUUUGCGGUCGUUCGGGCUUGCGUUUUUUCUAUAAACUCUUAUGUAUGUAACAGAAUGUCUUAAUGCUAUAAACGCAUCUUAUACAACUUUCAACAACGGAUCUCUUGGCUCUC
Molecule: unclassified non-coding RNA, 240 nt
Filed under: plant metagenome
Description: partial contains small subunit ribosomal RNA, internal transcribed spacer 1, and 5.8S ribosomal RNA
Source: RNAcentral